GGGGAGUACGCCGGCAACGGUGAAACUCAAAGGAAUUGACGGGGGCCCGCACAAGCGGAGGAACAUGUGGUUUAAUUCGAUGAUACGCGAGGAACCUUACCCGGGCUCAAACGACGGAUGGAUGUUUUUGAAAGAAGGCAGCCCUUCGGGGCAUCUGUCGAGGUGCUGCAUGGUUGUCGUCAGCUCGUGCCGUGAGGUGUCGGCUUAAGUGCCAUAACGAGCGCAACCCCCAUCGCCAGUUACCAGCAAGUAAAGUUGGGGACUCUGGCGAGACUGCCGGCGCAAGCUGUGAGGAAGGCGGGGAUGACGUCAAAUCAGCACGGCCCUUACGUCCGGGGCGACACACGUGUUACAAUGGCAGGUACAGAGAGAAGCGAUGCGGCGACGCAGAGCGGAACUUCAAAGCUUGUCUCAGUUCGGAUUGGAGUCUGCAACCCGACUCCAUGAAGCUGGAUUCGCUAGUAAUCGCGCAUCAGCCACGGCGCGGUGAAUACGUUCCCGGGCUUUGUACACACCGCCCGUCAAGCCAUGGAAGCCGGGAGUGCUUGAAGUGUGCAACCGCAAGGAGCGCCUUAAGGUAAAACCGGUGACUGGGGCUAAGUCGUAACAAGGUAACUGUAAGGGCGAAUUCGCGGCGAAUAAAUUCAAUUCGCCUUAUAGGAGUC
Molecule: ribosomal RNA, 665 nt
Filed under: uncultured bacterium
Lineage: Bacteria
Description: bacterial SSU rRNA
Rfam family: Bacterial small subunit ribosomal RNA
Source: RNAcentral